UAGGGAAUAUUAGUAAUGGGCGAAAGCCUGAACUAGCAACGCCGCGUGUGCGAAGAAGGCCUUCGGGUUGUAAAGCACUUUUUGAGAGGAUGAGGAAGGACGGUACUCUCAGAAUAAGUCUCGGCUAACUACGUGCCAGCAGCCGCGGUAACACGUAGGAGGCGAACGUUAUCCGGAUUUACUGGGCGUAAAGCGCGUGUAGGUGGUUUGGUAAGUAGGGCGUGAAAGCUCCUGGCUCAACUGGGAGAGGCCGUUCUAAACUGCCGAACUAGAGGAUGGUAGGGGGAGGUGGAAUUCCGGGGGUAGCGGUGGAAUGCGCAGAUAUCCGGAGGAACACCAGUGGCGAAAGCGGCCUCCUGGACCACUCCUGACACUCAGACGCGAAAGCUAGGGUAGCAAACGG
This 403-nucleotide ribosomal RNA is filed under the name uncultured bacterium. RNAcentral describes it as "bacterial SSU rRNA". It matches the Rfam family "Bacterial small subunit ribosomal RNA", at positions 355 to 775 of the family's 1533-position model. The record is from RNAcentral.